AUACGUAGGGGGCAAGCGUUAUCCGGAUUUACUGGGUGUAAAGGGAGUGUAGGUGGUCUGGCAAGUCAGAUGUGAAAGCCCGCGGCUCAACUGCGGGACUGCAUUUGAAACUGUCAGACUGGAGUGCAGGAGAGGAAAGUGGAAUUCCUAGUGUAGCGGUGAAAUGCGUAGUUAUUAGGAAGAACACCAGUGGCGAAGGCGACUUUCUGGACUGUAACUGACACUGAGGCUCGAAAGCGUGGGGAGCAAACAGGAUUAGAUACCCUGGUAGUCCACGCCGUAAACGAUGGAUACUAGGUGUGGGGGGUCUGACCCCCUCCGUGCCGCAGCUAACGCAAUAAGUAUCCCACCUGGGGAGUACGAUCGCAAGGUUGAAACUCAAAUGAAUUGACGGGG
RNAcentral lists this ribosomal RNA (396 nucleotides) under uncultured bacterium. RNAcentral's name for it is "partial 16S ribosomal RNA". It matches the Rfam family "Bacterial small subunit ribosomal RNA", at positions 523 to 918 of the family's 1533-position model. The record is from RNAcentral.